RNAcentral lists this ribosomal RNA (467 nucleotides) under uncultured bacterium. RNAcentral describes it as "partial 16S ribosomal RNA". It matches the Rfam family "Bacterial small subunit ribosomal RNA", at positions 28 to 506 of the family's 1533-position model. The record is from RNAcentral.
GACGAACGCUGGCGGCGUGCUUAACACAUGCAAGUCGAACGGAAAGGCCCUGCUUUUGUGGGGUGCUCGAGUGGCGAACGGGUGAGUAACACGUGAGUAACCUGCCCUUGACUUUGGGAUAACUUCAGGAAACUGGGGCUAAUACCGGAUAGGAGCUCCUGCUGCAUGGUGGGGGUUGGAAAGUUUCGGCGGUUGGGGAUGGACUCGCGGCUUAUCAGCUUGUUGGUGGGGUAGUGGCUUACCAAGGCUUUGACGGGUAGCCGGCCUGAGAGGGUGACCGGCCACAUUGGGACGGAGAUACGGCCCAGACUCCUACGGGAGGCAGCAGUGGGGAAUAUUGCACAAUGGGCGGAAGCCGGAUGCAGAAACGCCGCGUGCGGGAUGACGGCCUUCGGGUUGUAAACCGCUUUCGCCUGUGACGAAGCGUGAGUGACGGUAAUGGGUAAAGAAGCACCGGCUAACUACGU